RNAcentral lists this ribosomal RNA (478 nucleotides) under uncultured bacterium. Its description in RNAcentral is "bacterial SSU rRNA". It matches the Rfam family "Bacterial small subunit ribosomal RNA", at positions 30 to 499 of the family's 1533-position model. The record is from RNAcentral.
AUUGAACGCUGGCGGCAUGCCUUACACAUGCAAGUCGAACGGCAGCACGGGAGCAAUCCUGGUGGCGAGUGGCGAACGGGUGAGUAAUAUAUCGGAACGUGCCCAGUCGUGGGGGAUAACGCAGCGAAAGCUGUGCUAAUACCGCAUACGAUCUCUGGAUGAAAGCGGGGGACUCGCAAGAGCCUCGCGCGAUUGGAGCGGCCGAUAUCAGAUUAGCUAGUUGGUGGGGUAAAAGCUCACCAAGGCGACGAUCUGUAGCUGGUCUGAGAGGACGACCAGCCACACUGGAACUGAGACACGGUCCAGACUCCUACGGGAGGCAGCAGUGGGGAAUUUUGGACAAUGGGCGCAAGCCUGAUCCAGCAAUGCCGCGUGCAGGAUGAAGGCCUUCGGGUUGUAAACUGCUUUUGUACGGAACGAAACGGCUCUUUCUAAUAAAGAGGGCUAAUGACGGUACCGUAAGAAUAAGCACCGGCUA